RNAcentral lists this long non-coding RNA (314 nucleotides) under Rattus norvegicus (Norway rat). Its description in RNAcentral is "long non-coding RNA NONRATT017284". Lineage: Eukaryota; Metazoa; Chordata; Mammalia; Rodentia; Muridae. The record is from RNAcentral.
CCUUAACCAAGAGAGCAGUCACCCCUUCUUGAUCCCUUCCUGUCCUCUUCUGUGACUUAGAAGAUGCUAAGAAGCCUGACCCUUGGCCAAUGCUUGGUUCACUCUGUGUGGCCCCUACCAUUGUCACUAAAGCUUGUGUGGCUCACAUGUCUGGAGGGUUCAAGCGGUCACUUGAGCUUUGUGGUAGCCAGACCUCAAAGAGCAGGGGGGUCCCAGGCUCAGGCUUCCUGGCCUCCAUGUGACCUACUUCCAUGGAAGAAGAAGAAUGCUUGGUAUUGGAAAGACUGAUCCUAAUUCCCUGUAGACUUUCCUCU